This 234-nucleotide ribosomal RNA is filed under the name uncultured bacterium. RNAcentral's name for it is "partial 16S ribosomal RNA". It matches the Rfam family "Bacterial small subunit ribosomal RNA", at positions 118 to 347 of the family's 1533-position model. The record is from RNAcentral.
UGAGCAACCUGCCCUUGACUCUGGGAUAAAGCCUGGGAAACUGGGUCUAAUACCGGAUAUGACUCCUCAUCGCAUGGUGGGGGGUGGAAAGCUUUUUUGUGGUUUUGGAUGGACUCGCGGCCUAUCAGCUUGUUGGUGAGGUAAUGGCUCACCAAGGCGACGACGGGUAGCUGGUCUGAGAGGACGACCAGCCACACUGGAACUGAGAUACGGUCCAGACUCCUACGGGAGCAG